Molecule: long non-coding RNA, 248 nt
Filed under: Anas platyrhynchos (mallard)
Lineage: Eukaryota; Metazoa; Chordata; Aves; Anseriformes; Anatidae
Description: lncRNA (ENSAPLG00020009962.1)
Source: RNAcentral
UAGAUCUCUGUCCUGAGAUACAGCAACAGGAUGUGCCUUGGAGAAGACAGGUGAAAUUGAGAGAGAGAUUUAUGCAUAUUCCCCACCCAGUCCAAUGUACUGCUUAAAUGAAAAUUAGCCUGAACUUUCGGGAGUAUCCAAGGAUUCUGAAGGUUCUGUUGGUCUGCAAGUAAGCUGGGGCAUACAAGGAGACCUUUGAGGUCGCUUCCAGGACAUCCCAUCUUUCAUAUGGGGAGUAUAUGCAAGAC